Molecule: ribosomal RNA, 253 nt
Filed under: uncultured bacterium
Lineage: Bacteria
Description: partial 16S ribosomal RNA
Rfam family: Bacterial small subunit ribosomal RNA
Source: RNAcentral
UACGGGGGGAGCAAGCGUUGUUCGGAUUUACUGGGCGUAAAGAGCGCGCAGGCGGUCGUUCAAGUCGCGUGUGAAAGCCCCCGGCUCAACUGGGGAGGGUCACGCGAUACUGAUCGACUCGAAGGCAGGAGAGGGUAGUGGAAUUCCCGGUGUAGUGGUGAAAUGCGUAGAUAUCGGGAGGAACACCAGUGGCGAAGGCGACUACCUGGCCUGUUCUUGACGCUGAGGCGCGAAAGCCAGGGGAGCGAACGGG